AUUGAACGCUGGCGGCAGGCCUAACACAUGCAAGUCGAGCGGCAGCGGAAAGUAGCUUGCUACUUUGCCGGCGAGCGGCGGACGGGUGAGUAAUGUCUGGGAAACUGCCUGAUGGAGGGGGAUAACUACUGGAAACGGUAGCUAAUACCGCAUAACGUCGCAAGACCAAAGAGGGGGACCUUCGGGCCUCUUGCCAUCAGAUGUGCCCAGAUGGGGUUAGCUGGCAGGUAGGGUAAUGGCCUACCUGGGCGACGAUCCCUAGCUGGUCUGGGGGGAUUGACAGGCACACCGGAAACGAGACACGCUACAGACGCCUGCGGGAGGGAGCAGUGGGGAAUAUUGCACAAUGGGCGCAAGCCCGAUGCAGCCAUGCCGCGUGUGUGAAGAAGGCCUUCGGGUUGUAAAGCACUUUCAGCGAGGAGGAAGGCAGUAAGGUUAAUAACCUUGCUGAUUGACGUUACUCGCAGAAGAAGCACCGGCUAACUCCGUGCCAGCCGCCGCGGUAA
RNAcentral lists this ribosomal RNA (506 nucleotides) under uncultured bacterium. RNAcentral's name for it is "partial 16S ribosomal RNA". It matches the Rfam family "Bacterial small subunit ribosomal RNA", at positions 29 to 523 of the family's 1533-position model. The record is from RNAcentral.